AUCGAACGCUGGCGGCAGGCCUAACACAUGCAAGUCGAGCGGAUGAAGGGAGCUUGCUCCUGGAUUCAGCGGCGGACGGGGGAGUAAUGCCUAGGAAUCUGCCUGGUAGUGGGGUAUAACGUCCGGAAACGGGCGCUAAUACCGCAUACUUCCUGCUGCAGCAAGUUGGGGGUCUUCGGACCUCACGCUAUCAGAUGAGCUUAGGUCGGAUUAGCUAGUUGGUGGGGUAGAGGGCUACCAAGGCGACGAUCCGUAACUGGUCUGAGAGGCUGAUCAGUCACACUGGAACUGAGACACGGUCCAGACUCCUACGGGAGGCAGCAGUGGGGAAUAGUGGACAGUGGGCGAAAGCCUGAUACAGUCAUGCCGCGUGUGUGACGAAGGUCUUCGGAUUGUAAAGCACUCUAAGGGGGGAGGAAGGGCAGUAAGUUAAUACCUUGCUGGUUUGACGUUAACAACAGAAUAAGCACCGGCUAACUUCGUG
This 484-nucleotide ribosomal RNA is filed under the name uncultured bacterium. RNAcentral's name for it is "partial 16S ribosomal RNA". It matches the Rfam family "Bacterial small subunit ribosomal RNA", at positions 30 to 507 of the family's 1533-position model. The record is from RNAcentral.